Molecule: long non-coding RNA, 89 nt
Organism: Myotis davidii
Lineage: Eukaryota; Metazoa; Chordata; Mammalia; Chiroptera; Vespertilionidae
Exons: 3
Source: RefSeq, a predicted model, not a curated record
GGAAACAGUCUUGGGGGAUCAGCCUUGCUCGUCCGAGUCAUUCUCGCAGUCUAUCUGGCCGUCACAUCUCCAGAACUCAGGAAUACAAC